Molecule: ribosomal RNA, 787 nt
Filed under: Sphecodopsis capensis
Lineage: Eukaryota; Metazoa; Arthropoda; Insecta; Hymenoptera; Apidae
Description: SSU rRNA
Rfam family: Eukaryotic small subunit ribosomal RNA
Source: RNAcentral
CGGGGAGGUAGUGACGAAAAAUAACGAUACGGGACUCAUCCGAGGCCCCGUAAUCGGAAUGAGUACACUUUAAAUCCUUUAACGAGGACCAAUUGGAGGGCAAGUCUGGUGCCAGCAGCCGCGGUAAUUCCAGCUCCAAUAGCGUAUAUUAAAGUUGUUGCGGUUAAAAAGCUCGUAGUUGAAUCUGUGUGUCACAGUGUCGGUUCACCGCUCGCGGUGUUUAACUGGCAUUAUGUGGUACGUCCUACCGGUGGGCUUAGCUCCUCACGGGGGGCGGUCCAACUAAUAUCCCAUCGCGGUGCUCUUCACUGAGUGUCGAGGUGGGCCGGUACGUUUACUUUGAACAAAUUAGAGUGCUCAAAGCAGGCUACCUUCGCCUGAAUACUCUGUGCAUGGAAUAAUGGAAUAGGACCUCGGUUCUAUUUUGUUGGUUUUCGGAACCCCGAGGUAAUGAUUAAUAGGGACAGAUGGGGGCAUUCGUAUUGCGACGUUAGAGGUGAAAUUCUUGGAUCGUCGCAAGACGGACAGAAGCGAAAGCAUUUGCCAAAAAUGUUUUCAUUAAUCAAGAACGAAAGUUAGAGGUUCGAAGGCGAUCAGAUACCGCCCUAGUUCUAACCAUAAACGAUGCCAGCUAGCGAUCCGCCGAAGUUCCUCCGAUGACUCGGCGGGCAGCUUCCGGGAAACCAAAGCUUUUGGGUUCCGGGGGAAGUAUGGUUGCAAAGCUGAAACUUAAAGGAAUUGACGGAAGGGCACCACCAGGAGUGGAGCCUGCGGCUUAAUUUGACUC